This is a long non-coding RNA of Myodes glareolus (Bank vole), 1847 nucleotides long. RefSeq lists it as uncharacterized. NCBI's taxonomy places the organism in Eukaryota, Metazoa, Chordata, Mammalia, Rodentia, Cricetidae. The record is from RefSeq and is a predicted model, not a curated record.
UUACAAUCACGCUGAUACAGAAGCUGUGCGCAUUCAGUCGAAAUCAUACUUUACGUGUGAAGCUUUGGUCUUCUCCCAGGUUAGCUGACUGUGGGACGAUCUCUCGGCCACGUGAUCACGAAGGCCACAGGACUCUGCAGCACGACGCACAGACAGCACCAAGUGUUGAGGCGGAGUAUCCAAAGACGAACUAAGUCAGAUGUCUCUGGGUUUGAGAGUGAUGCAGCCACUGCUGGCCCUUCUCUGCUGAGACCCACAGUCUGACCUUGAUCAGUGAUCUGCUUCCCGCCUUCAGAUACAGACCCAGACCCCAGAUGUCACCCGACUUACGUUGCCAAUGAUGUCUGGCUGGCCAACAGCUGCUCAGUUCUCCCUCGGAAGCUGACUUCAUAUAGAGGGGAGAAAGUCGUUUCUCCACAACUAAAGUUGUAAAAGUUCUGGAGAGAAGUAGAGGUCACCUUAUCCUGGAACAAUGAAUGUGGCCAGAGAUGAGAGCCUAUUGACCUAGCUUGGACCACAUCAGUUUCCCAUGCUAACAUGUGCGGAUGGAGUGGGGAGCUUUAUGAUCGGCAGUUCUCAGUGGAACCAUGUUUUGAGUGAUAUUUUCCCAAAAGGAUGUUCGUCUUCUGGAAGAUAAUGUCCACCACAACUCUGGGCAAGUUGUCUAAUUUAUUUCACUUUCAGAUUUCUGGAAUAAUGAAAGAGUUGAGCUAGAUACUUUCUGAGGGUCCUUUCAUACUCCACAGGCUCUAGUUUUUGUUGAUAUAAAUAUAAUUUAGAAAUCCAUUUCAUGUUCAAACAGGAAGAGGUGAAACCAUUUUGCCCUCUUAUUUGAUGGGGAAACAGGCUCAUAAAGCAAAUCAACUUGCCUUGUGCCUCUAGGGCACUGAGGGGAAAAAAACCUUAAGAUAAGAUGGGACAUCAAUGGCACACUUGAGAGCUCCCCGUGGUGCUUUGCACAUUGGUGAAAUCAGUUUCAUUCCCUCAGUAAUCACCACUGACCAGCCCAGUUGGUGCAAGCUAUUAUCAAUUAGGCUAGCACUGAUGGAAUACCUUUGACAGCUUAAGUGUUGGUGACUUGAGAUUUAUUCUUUUACUGCCUUCUGAUUGAUGGAGGAACUGUUAAUGAAUAUGGUUAUUAUCUUUAUAAUGAGAGAUUACUGGAAAGCACAGCUUGGGGAAGGAAAAAGAAUUCAAGUUGAAGAAGACUGCUUUUUGGCAAACAGUUUUCAGGAGAUAAAACCUAGCAGGAAUUGUUUCCUACUUCACAGACACUUGGUCUGAUACCCCAGAGGGGACAGCGGGCAAGGACAUCACUUUUUAAGAUUUCUCUAAAUACAUAUUUAUACCUCACAACCAGCGAAUCCUGGAAAGUCAAAGGAAUGGAUAGGUUUUGUUUUUAAUAAGACUUAUUUCAUUGUAAAUUCUUGGCAUCUUUAAACAUCUCCAAGGUCUCAUUUGAGUGACUCCAUCAACGUAGCACAGAACAACCGAAAACCAAAGGAAAGAAUGAUCUUUCACUAAGAAAUAAAAAAUGCAUAACUCAGAAGGCUUUAUAUUCACGCCAAUGAAUGGAUUUAUCCUUAACAAAAUAAAUGUGAAUAUUAAUGUGACCACUGAAGAAUGCCUAAUUGCAGUACAAAGCUGGAAGUCACCACUGCUUAUUAAGGAGAGAUAAACAUCCGUAACUUUAUAUGAUUGUUUAGAAGUAAUACUGUAAGCAAUCAAAGCAGCAAAGCAUCCACACGUUUGCUUGGGCUCUUGGGGCAGACUGCCUGAUUUUUUUAAAUUCUUGUGUGAUCUUGGACAGUGUUCUUAUCUUUUGUUUUAAAUCUUUCCCAGAUUAA